GAUUAUUUAGUUUAAAAUUAAAACAAAUGUUUUGAAAACAUUAAAUAAGAAGGUAUUCUUAAUAAUUG
RNAcentral lists this transfer RNA (68 nucleotides) under Gelasimus borealis. RNAcentral describes it as "tRNA-Ser". It matches the Rfam family "tRNA". From Rfam's summary of the family: Transfer RNA (tRNA) molecules are approximately 80 nucleotides in length. Their secondary structure includes four short double-helical elements and three loops (D, anti-codon, and T loops). The record is from RNAcentral. Lineage: Eukaryota; Metazoa; Arthropoda; Malacostraca; Decapoda; Ocypodidae.